Molecule: ribosomal RNA, 497 nt
Filed under: uncultured bacterium
Lineage: Bacteria
Description: partial 16S ribosomal RNA
Rfam family: Bacterial small subunit ribosomal RNA
Source: RNAcentral
GAUGAACGCUGGCGGCGUGCCUAAUACAUGCAAGUCGAGCGGACGGACGAGAAGCUUGCUUCUCUGAUGUUAGCGGCGGACGGGUGAGUAACACGUGGAUAACCUACCUAUAAGACUGGGAUAACUUCGGGAAACCGGAGCUAAUACCGGAUAAUAUUUUGAACCGCAUGGUUCAAAAGUGAAAGACGGUCUUGCUGUCACUUAUAGAUGGAUCCGCGCUGCAUUAGCUAGUUGGUAAGGUAACGGCUUACCAAGGCAACGAUGCAUAGCCGACCUGAGAGGGUGAUCGGCCACACUGGAACUGAGACACGGUCCAGACUCCUACGGGAGGCAGCAGUAGGGAAUCUUCCGCAAUGGGCGAAAGCCUAACGGAGCAACGCCGCGUGAGUGAUGAAGGUCUUCGGAUCGUAAAACUCUGUUAUUAGGGAAGAACAUAUGUGUAAGUAACUGUGCACAUCUUGACGGUACCUAAUCAGAAAGCCACGGCUAACUACGUG